AUAGCUCAAGGGUGGAGCAAAUGCCUGGCAUGCAUGAGGUCCUAGGUUCAAUCCCCAGU
This 59-nucleotide transfer RNA is filed under the name Heterocephalus glaber (naked mole-rat). It matches the Rfam family "tRNA", at positions 7 to 64 of the family's 71-position model. Rfam says of the family: Transfer RNA (tRNA) molecules are approximately 80 nucleotides in length. Their secondary structure includes four short double-helical elements and three loops (D, anti-codon, and T loops). Lineage: Eukaryota; Metazoa; Chordata; Mammalia; Rodentia; Bathyergidae. The record is from Rfam by way of RNAcentral.